GUGCUCGCUUCGGCAGCACAUAUGCUAAAAUUGGAACGAUACAGAGAAGAUUAGCAUGGCCCCUGUGCAAGGAUGACAGGCAAAUUCGUGAAGCGUUCCAUAUUUUU
This 107-nucleotide small nuclear RNA is filed under the name Dasypus novemcinctus (nine-banded armadillo). The record is from RNAcentral. Lineage: Eukaryota; Metazoa; Chordata; Mammalia; Cingulata; Dasypodidae.